GGGCUGGCUGUAGCUCAGCGGUUCCUUCAUCUAUACAGUGCAACUUUGUUUCACUAAAGGUGCCAGCUCUGCCCCUUCAGCCCUGUGGGCGCUCCCCAGCCCAUUU
This is an unclassified non-coding RNA of Otolemur garnettii (small-eared galago), 106 nucleotides long. Its record names the gene Vault. It matches the Rfam family "Vault RNA". From Rfam's summary of the family: This family of RNAs are found as part of the enigmatic vault ribonucleoprotein complex. Lineage: Eukaryota; Metazoa; Chordata; Mammalia; Primates; Galagidae. The record is from Ensembl.